This 314-nucleotide ribosomal RNA is filed under the name uncultured Leptolyngbya sp. RNAcentral's name for it is "bacterial SSU rRNA". It matches the Rfam family "Bacterial small subunit ribosomal RNA", at positions 358 to 685 of the family's 1533-position model. Lineage: Bacteria; Bacillati; Cyanobacteriota; Cyanophyceae; Leptolyngbyales; Leptolyngbyaceae. The record is from RNAcentral.
GGAAUUUUCCGCAAAGGGGCGAAAACCCGACGGAGCAAUACCCCGUGAGGGAGGAAGGCCUGUGGGUUGUAAACCUCUUUUCUUAAGGAAGAAAACAGUGACGGUACCUGAGGAAUCAGCAUCGGCUAACUCCGUGCCAGCAGCCGCGGUAAGACGGAGGAGGCAAGCGUUAUCCGGAAUUAUUGGGCGUAAAGCGUCCGCAGGUGGGUUUACAAGUCUGCUGUCAAAGCGCAGAGCUCAACUCUGUAWAGGCAGUGGAAACUGGAAGUCUAGAGUAUGGUAGGGGUAGAGGGAAUUCCCGGUGUAGCGGUGAA